GAUCCUGGCUCAGAUUGAACGCUGGCGGCAUGCCUUACACAUGCAAGUCGAACGGCAGCACGGGAGCUUGCUCCUGGUGGCGAGUGGCGAACGGGUGAGUAAUACAUCGGAACGUACCCUGAAGUGGGGAUAACGUAGCGAAAGUUACGCUAAUACCGCAUAUUCUGUGAGCAGGAAAGCAGGGGACCGCAAGGCCUUGCGCUCUUUGAGCGGCCGAUGUCAGAUUAGCUAGUUGGUGAGGUAAAGGCUUACCAAGGCGACGAUCUGUAGCGGGUCUGAGAGGAUGAUCCGCCACACUGGAACUGAGACACGGUCCAGACUCCUACGGGAGGCAGCAGUGGGGAAUUUUGGACAAUGGGCGCAAGCCUGAUCCAGCCAUGCCGCGUGAGUGAAGAAGGCCUUCGGGUUGUAAAGCUCUUUCGGCCGGGAAGAAAUCGCAUGGGUUAAUACCCUGUGUGGAUGACGGUACCGGAAUAAGAAGCACCGGCUAACUACGUG
RNAcentral lists this ribosomal RNA (498 nucleotides) under uncultured bacterium. RNAcentral describes it as "bacterial SSU rRNA". It matches the Rfam family "Bacterial small subunit ribosomal RNA", at positions 15 to 507 of the family's 1533-position model. The record is from RNAcentral.